RNAcentral lists this ribosomal RNA (497 nucleotides) under uncultured bacterium. RNAcentral's name for it is "partial 16S ribosomal RNA". It matches the Rfam family "Bacterial small subunit ribosomal RNA", at positions 28 to 507 of the family's 1533-position model. The record is from RNAcentral.
GAUGAACGCUGGCGGCGUGCCUAAUACAUGCAAGUCGAGCGAACAGACGAGGAGCUUGCUCCUCUGACGUUAGCGGCGGACGGGUGAGUAACACGUGGAUAACCUACCUAUAAGACUGGGAUAACUUCGGGAAACCGGAGCUAAUACCGGAUAAUAUAUUGAACCGCAUGGUUCAAUAGUGAAAGACGGUUUUGCUGUCACUUAUAGAUGGAUCCGCGCCGCAUUAGCUAGUUGGUAAGGUAACGGCUUACCAAGGCAACGAUGCGUAGCCGACCUGAGAGGGUGAUCGGCCACACUGGAACUGAGACACGGUCCAGACUCCUACGGGAGGCAGCAGUAGGGAAUCUUCCGCAAUGGGCGAAAGCCUGACGGAGCAACGCCGCGUGAGUGAUGAAGGUCUUCGGAUCGUAAAACUCUGUUAUUAGGGAAGAACAAAUGUGUAAGUAACUAUGCACGUCGUGACGGUACCUAAUCAGAAAGCCACGGCUAACUACGUG